Molecule: long non-coding RNA, 1240 nt
Organism: Scylla paramamosain (green mud crab)
Lineage: Eukaryota; Metazoa; Arthropoda; Malacostraca; Decapoda; Portunidae
Exons: 4
Source: RefSeq, a predicted model, not a curated record
ACAAGAAUAAAGCAAAUAAAUGGAUCAAGAAUUUUAUUAAUGAAUGACGAGAUCAACAAAAUAAUUAACUCAUAAAACAGAACAAAACACAAAACAACCAAAAAUUAAAUAAACAAAAACUCAAAACAAACAUUUAUGUGAAAAAAACAACAGUAAUAAGCAAAUAAAUAAAAAUAAAAUAAAUAACCGACGUGGGAGUAGGCUAGUUGGAAGCCGAUCGAGUGUAGUGCAGUGGAUAUAUUAAUCGCUCUUUAAUCUUCGUUAUUUCACCUCAAACGGAACUGUCACCCUAACCACGGAGUCCUGGAGAUUGUGUUCUGCAUUGCCAGCCGGCACAAGCGGUGACAGGCAAGGCAUGUGAGGUGUCUCACAGCUUUACUAACUUAUGCAGGAUGAGAGUACAGGCUGCAGGCACAGACUGUUUGACGAGGCAGUUAUCGCCACAGCACUUAGGGAAGUACUGAAGGGCCUUGAGUAUUUCCACAACAACGGACAAAUCCACAGGUAUCACCCGGAGGCAGAGUCUGCGUGCCGAGGACGGCAUUGUUUACCCAUCAGUGAAUAGCUCCUGGUGACCUAUGGUAAAGCACAACAACAAAACUGUAAGCAUCCAAAAUUAGUCAAUGAUGGGUUGCGUGAAGCCUGAUGGAGUCGUCAGUUAUGGAUGCUGCUUCCGUGGCAGCUGGACCAGCACUGGUGUUGGAUGUGUAUGAACAGCUACACAAGCGUCUCAGCUGCUGUGAGAUGUAUGAUGACUGUGUUCUAGCACAUGAUGGAUAUGCAACUCAAAUAUAUCCACAUUUUUUCCAUAUGUGCUUUUCACCUGCAUUUUUGCUGUAUAGAUUUCUUUUGUGGUGACUACAGUCGGCUCGCCACUAAUGUGCAGUAUUCUGAUGCAAAUCACGUAUACUGCCUGGGAUCAGCUUGCUUGCGAGUCGUACCCUAACGGAAUUUAAAGCCUACUGCAUGGAUGGUCCGCAACAAAUUGUAAAAAUGUCUGUAACACUGAUAUCGAGGUAGCAAGUGCAGUUCCAAUCCCAACAUCACUAGCACUAUACACAGUGAUGCAAGUUUGGUGAGAAGAAUGAGCUGUAACUGCUGCAGCUGCCACCAUUGAUAGUGACAUCAACAGUGAGCAUUCAUCAGCUGUUUGUGUAAACAGUGGCUCAGUGUGGUCUUUUAAUGAAUGUUUGUGUACUGUAUAAGUCUUAAUUCAUUAUUUAAAAAAAUAUUUUUACAA